This 491-nucleotide ribosomal RNA is filed under the name uncultured bacterium. RNAcentral's name for it is "partial 16S ribosomal RNA". It matches the Rfam family "Bacterial small subunit ribosomal RNA", at positions 28 to 507 of the family's 1533-position model. The record is from RNAcentral.
GAUGAACGCUAGCUACAGGCUUAACACAUGCAAGUCGAGGGGAAACGAUGAGAGAGCUUGCUCUCUUAGUCGUCGACCGGCGCACGGGUGAGUAACGCGUAUCCAACCUGCCUCUGACCAAGGGAUAACCCGUCGAAAGUCGGACUAAUACCUUAUGCAGUCGUCGGAAGUCAUCUGAUGACGACGAAAGAUUUCAUCGGUGAGAGAUGGGGAUGCGUCUGAUUAGCUUGUUGGCGGGGUAACGGCCCACCAAGGCGACGAUCAGUAGGGGUUCUGAGAGGAAGGUCCCCCACAGUGGCACUGAGACACGGUCCAAACUCCUACGGGAGGCAGCAGUGGGGAAUAUUGGUCAAUGGGCGUGAGCCUGAACCAGCCGAGUAGCGUGCAAGAUGGCGGCCCUAUGGGUUGUAAACUGCUUUUAGGGGGGGAUAAAGUGAGGGACGUGUCCUUCAUUGCAGGUACCGCAUGAAUAAGGACCGGCUAAUUCCGUG